This 767-nucleotide unclassified non-coding RNA is filed under the name Hevea brasiliensis (rubber tree). The record is from RNAcentral. Lineage: Eukaryota; Viridiplantae; Streptophyta; Magnoliopsida; Malpighiales; Euphorbiaceae.
AAGGAAGGCAUCAGUUCUUGCACUGCAGAAUCUUUAUGAGGUGGAUGAUAAUGUACCAUCUCUUGGCCUUUUCACGGAGAGAUUUUAUAAAAGGAUGAUCGAGCUUGCUGAUGAUGUUGAUAUUUCUGUGGCAGUAUGUGCUAUAGGACUUGUGAAACAACUGAUAAGACAUCAACGUGUUCCUGAGGAGGAAUUAAGUUCUUUAUAUGAUUUGCUAAUUGAUGAUCCACCUGAAAUCAGGCGUGCCAUUGGAGCUCUAGUGUAUGAUAAUCUGAUUGCCCAGCGAUUGAACAGUUCACAAUCUAGUUCAGGGGAUAAUGCUGAUUCUUCUGAGGUUCAUCUUAACAGACUGUUGCGCAUAUUGGGAGAGUUUUCAAAAGACGAAAUGCUGAGUAUGUAUGUCAUUGAUGAUAUCUGGGAGUAUAUGGACGCCAUGAAAGAUUGGAAACGUAUCCUGUCUAUGCUCUUGGAAGAAGAGCUAUCAGCUGAACUGAGUGAUGCAGACGCAACAAACCUAAUUCGGCUGCUUUUUGCGUCCAUUAGGAAGGCAGUUGGAGAGAAGAUUGUUCCUGCCAGUGAUAAUAAAAAACAAUAUUAUACUAAAGCACAAAAGGACAUGUUUGAAAGUUCUAAGCGUGAUAUAACCAUUGCUAUGAUGAGGAAUUAUCCGCAGCUUCUUCGCAAAUUUAUAUCUGACAAAGCAAAAAUUCCCUAUCUACUUGAAAUCAUUGUUCAUAUGAACCUUGAGCUCUAUUCUCUUAAACGAC